Molecule: long non-coding RNA, 1031 nt
Filed under: Mytilus galloprovincialis (Mediterranean mussel)
Lineage: Eukaryota; Metazoa; Mollusca; Bivalvia; Mytilida; Mytilidae
Source: RNAcentral
GUCCCAUGUUCAUUUGAUUUGAUUUUUUGUCCAAUACAAGAAUAUAUAUGGCUUACGGGUGGGGAUCUCCACCAUUUACAAGUAUUCAAACAGGAGGGGGUGGUGGUAACCCCCAGAGACUUUUCCUACAUUUCAUUUGAUUUGUUUUAUUGUCCCAUACAAGAAUAUAUGUGGUUUAGGGGUGGGGAUGUUGACCGUUUACAAGUUUUCAAACAAGAGGGGGUGGGGUGACCCCCUCGGGACUUCCCUUUUAUUUCAUUUCAUUUGUUUUAUUGUCCCCUACAAGAAUAAAUAUGGUUUAGGGGUGGGGAUCUGGACCAUUUACAAGAUAAUAGCACUUUCUCAAAUUGAACGGGGUGGGGUGACCCCCAGGAACUUCCAUUUAACUUCAUUUGAUUAGUUUUAUUGUCCCAUACAAGAAUAGAUAUGGUUUAGGGGUGGGGAUGUUGACCGUUUACAAGUUUUCAAACAAGAGGGGGUGGGGUGAGCCCCUAGGGACAUCACUUUUAUUUCAUUUCAUUUGUUUUAUUGUCCCCUACAAAAAUAUAUAUGGUUUAGGGGUGGGGAUCUGGACUGUUUACAAGAUAAUAGCACAUUCUCAAAUUGAACGGGGUGGGGAUGACCCCGGGGACUUCCCUUUAAUUUCAUUUGAUUUGUUUUAUCGUCCCAUUCAAGAAUAUAUAUGGUUUAGGGGUGGGGAUCUGGACCGUUUACAAGAUAAAAGCAUAUUCUCAAAUUGAAGGGGGUGGGAAUGACCCCCCAGGGACUCCCCCUAUAUUUCAUGUGAUUUGUUUUAUUGUCCUAUAAUCAUUUCUGAAGACUGCAUGUAUCUAUCGCUUACAGUUUUCAAGUUAUAUUCAUUUGAAAAUUUUAGAAAAUAAAAUCCCAUAGGGUUCUAUAGUAAACCCCUCCCUCCUUUCUACCCCCAAAAUACCCCUUUAUAGACCCCAAUGCACAAACGAAACAUUGAUGGCUCACCUAGACAUGUUAGUCUAACAUAUUGUAAAAUCCUAAGUAAAUCUGACAAGCCG